UUACAAACUGUUAGAAAAGUUAGCUUGAAAAUUGGUUAGAAUCUGUUAGCGGAUGUUAAUGAGUUUGGAACUGAUAGUGACUUUUUCUGGUUCUUCCUGUUGGUUUUGUAACGUGCAGGUAUCGGUUUUCUAUUUGGGGUUUAGAUGCAAAUGGCUUUGAGGACCGGUUCGGUUUAUAUAGGUGGUAUUGUUCAUAGCUUGAAGAAGAAAGAAUAGCAAGACAUAAAGGGCAAGGGCAGGUUGUUUAUUUGUCAACUGAACUAGUUCCCGUUUGCUGCAGCGUGAAUGAAUGGAGGUCGAGCUGAAUGAAUGGUGUAUGUAGAAUCCUGCUAAAUACUUUUGGAGUGCUUGAACUCAUCUUUGCUUUUUCUGGCAUGAGCAAGUGUUUGAAAUUGGAAGCAAAAGAGUGUAUUGAAGGCAAAGUAGGAGCAAGGCACAAAAAUGAUGGAAGAUGACGAUACUGCGGAUUCGGGAGUAAAAGGCUUUACGGCAUUUGUUGGCUUUGAUGAAUAUAUAAAUUUUUGUAUUUCCUUUUAGAUGUAAUUGGUAUAAUGGCAAUGUAAUAUGGAUUUUAGAUGUGAGGUCUUGAAGCAUGGCUUGAAACAUGUGAUGAAAGUUUGAAUUUAGUUAUAUGGAAUAUGAGCAGUACCCUUGUAAUGAGCGAAGCUUUUUCUUCAUGAAAGUGGACUUCAUUUUCUUUC
Vicia villosa (hairy vetch) is the source of this 701-nucleotide long non-coding RNA. RefSeq lists it as uncharacterized. The record is from RefSeq and is a predicted model, not a curated record. NCBI's taxonomy places the organism in Eukaryota, Viridiplantae, Streptophyta, Magnoliopsida, Fabales, Fabaceae. The transcript has 3 exons.